AGGACGACGGCUGGCGGCGUGCUUAACACAUGCAAGUCGAACGGAGCCUAGCGAAAGAAUUAUCUUUUGCGAAAGCUUAGUGGCGGACGGGUGAGUAACGCGUGGGCAACCUACCCUGUACAGGGGGACAACACCGGGAAACCGGUGCUAAUACCGCAUAAAGCCAAACAGCAGCAUUGCAGUAUGGCCAAAGGAGAAAUCCGGUACAGGAUGGGCCCGCGUCCGAUUAGCUAGUUGGUAGGGUAAAGGCCUACCAAGGCGACGAUCGGUAGCCGGACUGAGAGGUUGAACGGCCACAUUGGGACUGAGACACGGCCCAGACUCCUACGGGAGGCAGCAGUGGGGAAUAUUGCGCAAUGGGGGGAACCCUGACGCAGCAACGCCGCGUGAAGGAAGAAGGUUUUCGGAUCGUAAACUUCUUUGAUUGGGGACGAAAGAAAUGACGGUACCCAAAAAACAAGCCACGGCUAACUACGUG
RNAcentral lists this ribosomal RNA (478 nucleotides) under uncultured bacterium. RNAcentral describes it as "bacterial SSU rRNA". It matches the Rfam family "Bacterial small subunit ribosomal RNA", at positions 26 to 507 of the family's 1533-position model. The record is from RNAcentral.